Molecule: RNase P RNA, 334 nt
Filed under: Oxalobacteraceae bacterium IMCC9480
Lineage: Bacteria; Pseudomonadati; Pseudomonadota; Betaproteobacteria; Burkholderiales; Oxalobacteraceae
Also listed under: 1 other name
Description: Bacterial RNase P class A
Rfam family: Bacterial RNase P class A
About the family: Ribonuclease P (RNase P) is a ubiquitous endoribonuclease, found in archaea, bacteria and eukarya as well as chloroplasts and mitochondria. Its best characterised activity is the generation of mature 5'-ends of tRNAs by cleaving the 5'-leader elements of precursor-tRNAs.
Source: Rfam by way of RNAcentral
GAAGCAAGCCAGACAGUCGCUGGUUGAUGUCACGAUUUCGGUCGUGGCAAAGACGGGAGGAAGGUCCGGACUCCAUAGAGUAGGGUGACGGUUAAUGGCCGUCCGCCGUGAGGCGAGGAAUAGGGCCACAGAGACGAGCGUAUUUAGUUACGGUGAAACGCGGUAACCUCCACCCGGAGCAAUUUCAAAUAGGCACGCGUUGAUGUGACUCGCGGAGCGUGCGGGUAGAAAGCUUGAGCCGUGGAGUAAUUCACGGCCUAGAGGAAUGGCUGUCAUAACGAACGGGCUUGCCCGGGAGUCGUAACAGAAUCCGGCCUAUCGGCUUGCUUCACUU